Molecule: long non-coding RNA, 600 nt
Filed under: Physcomitrium patens
Lineage: Eukaryota; Viridiplantae; Streptophyta; Bryopsida; Funariales; Funariaceae
Description: long non-coding RNA (PPAT_LNC001094)
Source: RNAcentral
GGCGUAGCCCGCGACUAGCUUCCUCGAUGAGCUUUCCGCCUCCGUGGCAGUGACUUUAUCGCUCUAGGCCGCUGAUCAGCCGCAGUCUGCUACAUCGUCUUCCUGGACUUCCCACCAAUCGCCACCGCGAUUUUUGUGCAGCCACCUUGCGGUGAAUUGGAAAUUCGAGAUCCACCUCUGCUGCGAUCUACUGCAGCUCUUAGUUCGAGAAGACUAGCAAUACUGGCUGGUUUUCCUUUAUUAUUAUUAUUAGUUAAAAUGUAAUAAAACGGAAUACUCUUUAUUACCAACUUCCUCACCUCUACUACUCACUAUAUAACAGCAAAAACAAAUAAGUGUAUCGAGCAUUCUGAUUCCUAUGCAACCAAUUUAACGCAAUAGGUUGCCUCCUAUCCACUACGCACAUGCCGUCAAUCAACCAUGCCGUCUAACAUGUAGAUUCAAUGUGCUUCAAAACCUCAUUGUUGUUCUUCUUUGACACCAUAGCAAGUUUGAAGACCGCUUUUAUAGUAGUCUGCCAACCGAGUUGCUUCCACUUGACGUGAAUUUUCUUGAAUUGCAUGAAAUCUCCAAGCUCCACACACCCUACACGAACAGCAU